Olea europaea var. sylvestris is the source of this 729-nucleotide long non-coding RNA. RefSeq lists it as uncharacterized. The transcript is spliced from 3 exons. Lineage: Eukaryota; Viridiplantae; Streptophyta; Magnoliopsida; Lamiales; Oleaceae. The record is from RefSeq and is a predicted model, not a curated record.
UCAUUGACAUUCUGCUUUUAUCAUGUUGCAUCCCUCGAACUUUACAAAAGAAUGGAUAUCUUAUGCUUCAGAAUGGUAAUGUGAUAGAGAUCUAGUGUGACAAGAUGUGAAUACAUGUCUUGAGAAGUUUAAAGCUUCCAUUUGCUACGAGGUAAUGUAGUAUGUGCUUUAAGAGAGUAACAAUUUGUUUUACUCCUGCAAUUUUUGCACAAAUUUAACAAGCUUCCCAACCGUAAAUUUAUAUUCAUUAGUCAAAUUUGAUAAUGUUGAAAGCACAUAUUUAACUUCCAUUAAACCAUUUUCGUUUUGGCAUUUUCGAGGCAUACACUACGGAGUUGGAAGAAGAAGUUGCAAAACUGAAGGAAGAAAACCAAGAAUUGCGAAUGAAACUGAAAUGAAGGAAAUGCAGAGGAACCAGAAAGCCAUUUCUCCUAUAACGCAGCAGAAGCAGAAAACAGCGAUCACAAAAAUGCCAGUAGAAAUCUGCAUUCCUGGAAAGAAAACUCCAAGAGGACUUUGUUAUUGUAAACUUUACUAAUACUAAAUAGGCAAAUAGGGGCAAGAGAACUUAACAAGCAACCUCAUUUCUCCAUUUAUAAUUAUAAUUAGUAUUAUUAUUUUGCAUUCCGACUCAUUCAGAAUUUUCUCUCAAACUACAUGUGCAGACUUGCAGAAAUUAAGUCGGGAAUUUUUGAAGUGUCCAACUAAUUAAUGAAUUAGUUUCCUUGA